This 62-nucleotide small nuclear RNA is filed under the name Balaenoptera musculus (blue whale). RNAcentral describes it as "U7 small nuclear RNA (ENSBMSG00010007480.1)". It matches the Rfam family "U7 small nuclear RNA". From Rfam's summary of the family: Animal histone pre-mRNAs are spliced by a different mechanism than nuclear pre-mRNAs and self-splicing introns. Lineage: Eukaryota; Metazoa; Chordata; Mammalia; Artiodactyla; Balaenopteridae. The record is from Rfam by way of RNAcentral.
GAGUGUUACAGCUCUUUUACAAGAUGUCUAGCAGGUUUUCUGGUCCACACUGGAAAACCCAA